RNAcentral lists this long non-coding RNA (463 nucleotides) under Gallus gallus (chicken). Lineage: Eukaryota; Metazoa; Chordata; Aves; Galliformes; Phasianidae. The record is from RNAcentral.
GUGAGGAUGGCCAGAGACGUUCUGCAUCUUCAUCACUGAGGGCACAUCUCGGGUGGAAACACCGGCGGGGCUCUGACAGUCUCUGAAUGCUUUGCCCUGAAUUGGAGGUUGAAACCAAAUCACAGAUGUUUUUCUAUACAGUUACUCUUCUCCUGUAAGCCGAGCUUUGACAGAGUUGAUGUCCAAAACAGCCGAGGAAGAACUGGACUGAAGAGGAGAGCGCCAGCUGACAGCGCCCGUCUGGUGUGAUGUGCCCAGAGAGAGACUCGUCCAGCAAGAGAUAGAGUAGAUAGGGAGCAUAGGGACCCAGUUAGCUCUAAAAUGUCUUAGUAGUGCAGUUGUAAGAAAGCUCUGUAAAUAAAUUGUAUGCCAUUGUUUUCAUAUCCUUACACUGUGUCCAAAACUGUGUUUGUUCGUAGUCCGAUAUGCCUAGAAAUAAAUGACAGAACAAUAAAUCUUUUCC